RNAcentral lists this ribosomal RNA (484 nucleotides) under uncultured bacterium. RNAcentral's name for it is "partial 16S ribosomal RNA". It matches the Rfam family "Bacterial small subunit ribosomal RNA", at positions 30 to 507 of the family's 1533-position model. The record is from RNAcentral.
AUUGAACGCUGGCGGCAUGCUUUACACAUGCAAGUCGAACGGCAGCGCGGGCUUCGGCCUGGCGGCGAGUGGCGAACGGGUGAGUAAUACAUCGGAACGUGCCCAGUAGGUGGGGAUAGCGCGUCGAAAGCGGGAUUAAUACCGCAUACGACCUGAUGGUGAAACCGGGGGAUCUUCUGACCUCUCGCUUUUGGUGCGGCCGAUGGCUGGUUAGCUAGUUGGUGGGGUAAAGGCCUACCAAGGCGACGAUCUGUAGCUGGUCUGAGAGGACGACCAGCCACACUGGGACUGAGACAGGGCCCAGACUCCGACGGGAGGCAGCAGUGGGGAAUUUUAGACAAUGGGCGAAAGCCUGAUCCAGCAAUGCCGCGUGUGUGAUGAAGGCCUUCGGGUUGUAAAGCACUUUUGGCGGGAACGAAAAGGACUGUGCCAAUACCACGGUUCGAUGACGGUACCCGCAGAAUAAGCACCGGCUAACUACGUG